RNAcentral lists this ribosomal RNA (301 nucleotides) under uncultured bacterium. RNAcentral describes it as "partial 16S ribosomal RNA". It matches the Rfam family "Bacterial small subunit ribosomal RNA", at positions 509 to 807 of the family's 1533-position model. The record is from RNAcentral.
CAGCCGCCGCGGUAAUGCGUAGGUGGCAAGCGUUGUCCGGAAUUAUUGGGCGUAAAGGGCUCGCAGGCGGUUUCUUAAGUCUGAUGUGAAAGCCCCCGGCUCAACCGGGGAGGGUCAUUGGAAACUGGGAAACUUGAGUGCAGAAGAGGUGAGUGGAAUUCCCAGUGUAGAGGUGAAAUUCGUAGAUAUUGGGAAGAACACCAGUGGCGAAGGCGGCUCACUGGACCGACACUGACGCUGAGGCGCGAAAGCGUGGGGAGCAAACAGGAUUAGAUACCCCCGUAGUCCCUGUCUCUUAUAC